This 391-nucleotide ribosomal RNA is filed under the name uncultured bacterium. RNAcentral describes it as "bacterial SSU rRNA". It matches the Rfam family "Bacterial small subunit ribosomal RNA", at positions 29 to 402 of the family's 1533-position model. The record is from RNAcentral.
AACGAACGCUGGCGGCGUGCCUAACACAUGCAAGUCGAGCGGGAAAGUUCCCUUCGGGGAGCAAGUACAGCGGCGAACGGGUGAGUAACACGUAGGUAACCUACCUUGGAGAUCGGGAUAACCUGCCGAAAGGCGGGCUAAUACCGGAUAAGACCACGAGGGCUGCGGCCCUUGAGGAAAAAGAUGGCCUCUGCUUGCAAGCUAUCACUCUGGGAUGGGCCUGCGCGCCAUUAGCUAGUUGGUGAGGUAACGGCUCACCAAGGCUGAGAUGGCUAGCUGGUCUGAGAGGAUGGCCAGCCACACUGGGACUGAGACACGGCCCAGACUCCUACGGGAGGCAGCAGUGGGAAUAUUGCGCAAUGGGCGAAAGCCUGACGCAGCGACGCCGCGU